This 1402-nucleotide ribosomal RNA is filed under the name Triticum aestivum (bread wheat). Its description in RNAcentral is "partial small subunit ribosomal RNA". The record is from RNAcentral. Lineage: Eukaryota; Viridiplantae; Streptophyta; Magnoliopsida; Poales; Poaceae.
AAAAAAGGGUUAGGUAGGUAGGUAGGUCAGGUCUAGCUCUCUCUCGAGCAGAGGAAGGAAGGAGGUCGAGGGAGGUCUAGCUCUUUCUCUAGCGGCGGCGGUGGAGGGAGGUCGCCUCGAGCGGCGGCAGGUACCGGAGGGGGUGCGGGAGGACGAGGCGAACGAGGAGGAGGGAGGUGCGGAGGGCGCGCGGCAACGGCUAAAGGGUUUGGUCUGGCGGAGGGGCCAAGUGAGGAAGGAGGGGAGGGUGGGUGGGCGGAGCCGCGGCGGUGGGUUGAGCGGCUGCUGGAAUGCGUAGCGGCGGCCGGAGGCGAGGGAGGGGAGGGUGUGCGGGCUGCGGGGUGGGAGAGGUGGAGGGGAAGAGGGGGAUGGGGGUCAUCGUGGGUCCGGGUUGUCGUGUACGCCGUCGGUCUAGGGUCUAGGUCGUGCGGCCGAACACGGAGUGGCCUCCACGGGUCGUCUCACUCCACCCGACGGGCGCACGUGUGCGGUACCUGGAGGCAGUGCCCUGCGGUUGCGCAGAGCAGACGGACCGGCGCAGUGGUCUGACAACGGACGAACGAGGGACGGCUGCGGUAGGGCACGAGCCCUGCGGCGCGGAUGGUGCGGGGCUGCAGGGAGGAGGGAGCGGGGACGCAGCCCGGGCAGCAGGCAGGGGCUCUACCUCUCCCACGAGUUCCUACUACGGUAGGUCCUCUUCCCGCUCGCGCGGUCCCACCACCGUCCGAAUAUGCCGUAGCGCUCGUCCUCCCGGUACUCCCCAAACGACGAGACGAGGAUCCCGCUGGUUCUCCAGGACGGGGCUCGAGUUCGUGCAGGUGCGGCUGGGUGGUACUGUCUACUGGUUCGGGUUCCUCCUUCGUCGACGAGUAGUGACUCCUGUUCAUUGAGGUCGUCCAACUGCGGCAUCUAAGUGUUACAUGGAAGAUGAUCAGCUUACGGGCACGCAACGGUGCCUAUGCUUUAUUUUACAUCCACAAUACUAAUAUAUAAACAAAAUUAAGUUUUUACACACGUCUUCUACCGCCAUGUACUAAAAGUAAGUACAGGUGAACGACGUAACGAGGUUCAGUCGGAAACACAAAGUAAUCCGUGGGAAAAGAACGUACGUCGCUUUCACUAUAUAGAGAGGGAAGGGAGAACGGGGUGGUGGUAAGAGAAGUAGGUGGGAAUGAGAUCGUAACAACCACGAUCAGUACCUGAGUAUCGACAACAAGGAUUACCGAUGUGUAUAAGAACGUGGUUAUAUACGAAGAACGGUGUAGAACCUGCGUAUAUAGCGAACGUAGUUUAAGACUGGCUUUGUGGUACGAUAAUAUCACGUGUUGAUAGUUUGGGUCCGUCUCUUCCGAAUUACAGUUUCCCACAUUUUAACCCGACCCAAAAACCCUACAGAAGAACU